UGCCUAAGUAUUGUAUCCUUGUAAGAAGAUACAAAGACAAACACUCAUACGGACUUCGGCUACACCAUCAAAGCUUUGAGAAGCAAGAAGAAGCUUGGUUAGUGUUUUGGAAUCGAAUAUGACUUGAUGUGAUGUGUAUGAUUGAGUAUAAGAACUUAAACCGCAACCGGAUCUUAAGAGCCUAAGUAGUGUUUCCUUGUUAGAAGAUACAAACCCA
Molecule: small RNA, 217 nt
Filed under: Arabidopsis thaliana (thale cress)
Lineage: Eukaryota; Viridiplantae; Streptophyta; Magnoliopsida; Brassicales; Brassicaceae
Description: ATSL268430
Source: RNAcentral